CCUACGGGAUGCAGCAGUGAGGAAUAUUGGUCAAUGGACGAGAGUCUGAACCAGCCAAGUAGCGUGAAGGAUGACUGCCCUAUGGGUUGUAAACUUCUUUUAUAUGGGAAUAAAAUGUUCCACGUGUGGGAUUAUGUAUGGACCAUAUUAAUAAGGAUCGGCUAACUCCGUGCCAGCAGCCGCGGUAAUACGGAGGAUCCGAGCGUUAUCCGGAUUUAUUGGGUUUAAAGGGAGCGUAGGCGGAUUGUUAAGUCAGGUGUGAAAGUUUGCGGCUCAACCGUAAAAUUGCAGUUGAAACUGGCAGUCUUGAGUACAGUAGAGGUGAGCGGAAUUCGUGGUGUAGCGGUGAAAUGCUUAGAUAUCACGAAGAACACCGAUUGCGAAGGCAGUUCACUGGACUGCAACUGACGCUGAGGCUCGAAAGUGUGGGUAGCAAACAGGAUUAGAUACCCGGGUAGUC
RNAcentral lists this ribosomal RNA (460 nucleotides) under uncultured bacterium. RNAcentral's name for it is "partial 16S ribosomal RNA". It matches the Rfam family "Bacterial small subunit ribosomal RNA", at positions 338 to 795 of the family's 1533-position model. The record is from RNAcentral.